RNAcentral lists this ribosomal RNA (552 nucleotides) under uncultured bacterium. RNAcentral describes it as "partial 16S ribosomal RNA". It matches the Rfam family "Bacterial small subunit ribosomal RNA", at positions 355 to 899 of the family's 1533-position model. The record is from RNAcentral.
UGGGGAAUUUUGGACAAUGGGGGAAACCCUGAUCCAGCCAUCCCGCGUGUGCGAUGAAGGCCUUCGGGUUGUAAAGCACUUUUGGCAGGAAAGAAACGUCGCGGGUUAAUACCCCGCGAAACUGACGGUACCUGCAGAAUAAGCACCGGCUAACUACGUGCCAGCAGCCGCGGUAAUACGUAGGGUGCAAGCGUUAAUCGGAAUUACUGGGCGUAAAGCGUGCGCAGGCGGUUCGGAAAGAAAGAUGUGAAAUCCCAGAGCUUAACUUUGGAACUGCAUUUUUAACUACCGGGCUAGAGUGUGUCAGAGGGAGGUGGAAUUCCGCGUGUAGCAGUGAAAUGCGUAGAUAUGCGGAGGAACACCGAUGGCGAAGGCAGCCUCCUGGGAUAACACUGACGCUCAUGCACGAAAGCGUGGGGAGCAAACAGGAUUAGAUACCCUGGUAGUCCACGCCCUAAACGAUGUCAACUAGCUGUUGGGGCCUUCGGGCCUUGGUAGCGCAGCUAACGCGUGAAGUUGGACCGCCUGGGGAGUACGGUCGCAAGAUUAAAA